UAGCGUAUAUUAAAGUUGUUGCAGUUAAAAAGCUCGUAGUUGGAUUUCGGAGUGGGUCAGUUGGUCCGCCGAAAGGUGAGUUACUGGCUGGUCUGCUCUUCUUCGCAAAGACUGCGUAUCCUCUUUAUUGAGCGUGCGUAGGAUUUACGACGUUUACUUUGAAAAAAUUAGAGUGUUCAAAGCAGGCUAUCGCUUGAAUACAUGAGCAUGGAAUAAUGGAAUAGGACUUUGGUCUUAUUUUGUUGGUUUCCGAGACCGAAGUAAUGAUUAAGAGGGACAAUUGGGGGCAUCCGUAUUUCGUUGUC
This 305-nucleotide ribosomal RNA is filed under the name Cladonema environmental sample. RNAcentral describes it as "SSU rRNA". It matches the Rfam family "Eukaryotic small subunit ribosomal RNA", at positions 595 to 906 of the family's 1831-position model. The record is from RNAcentral. Lineage: Eukaryota; Metazoa; Cnidaria; Hydrozoa; Anthoathecata; Cladonematidae.